Molecule: small RNA, 119 nt
Filed under: Mycobacterium avium 104
Lineage: Bacteria; Bacillati; Actinomycetota; Actinomycetes; Mycobacteriales; Mycobacteriaceae
Description: Actinobacteria sRNA Ms_IGR-7
Rfam family: Actinobacteria sRNA Ms_IGR-7
Source: Rfam by way of RNAcentral
CGGAAGUGCCUUUCUGACCAGGACUGAUUGUUGCGUAGAGAACAUCAAUCUUUCCAGCUCAGAGGGCACUUUCCUCGUUACGACACCCGGUCAACGAGCCCGUUCAUCGGUGGAUUCAG